GGGGGGGAGAGUACUGCAAAGUUGUUUUGGCCGAUAGCUAUUCCAAGAACUAAUCCAUGAAUUUGUUGGGAUACCUAUUUCCUUGUGUGGUUGCUUCCCUGAUUCCAAUUGUUCGUGGGGGUUGGACUGGCAUCGGUCACUGAGACCUCGUUUAACUGAUUCUGGAGGGCUAUGGCUUUUUUCUUCUGCACUGGAGUGCUCCAUCACAUUUGAUUCCGGGAAGAAUAAGAGAGCCUGGGAGCAGUUAUUAGAAUUGAGAUGGGUGCUUUUGCAACACCAGUUAUAAGGUCCUUUUCUCCUUUGACAACAGAGUUUGAUCGUGAAAGCAGGUAUUCGAUUAGCUCUUGAAGCUGGAAUUCUCCCCCUUGAAGUAGAGCCUGAUAGUAUGAAGGCUGGUAGCUUGGUAACCUCUAACGACUUGUGUUGGGAGAAGAAAGGGGUAAUAGUGGAGGAUAUUAAAUGCUGUUGAACUGUGGUGCACGGUGCACCCAAGGUCUGCUUCUAACCGAGGGAAUGCAACAAAGUAUUUUAAGGAAUGUAUUGAUUUCUUUUGUAUUGAAAUUGGGUGGAAAGUAUUUCAACAAAGUUUGAGUUGCUUUAAAUUCUACCGUUAGAUGUAGAUCUAAGAGUGGUUGAGCAUACUGCUGAGUAGGGGACACCACUGCUUACUGCUUCAGGAUUUAUGGUCUUCCUCAAGAGCUAUUGAGCAAAUGCAUGUUAGAUCACAGGAGCGAGCAGAGAAGAGAAGGAUCGCUCACAGAGUAUGGGGACUUUGGGGAGAAUUUGGAGUGAUGAAGUACAAAGGUCCUCAAGUUCUAGAGCUUCCUAGAAGCCUUAGAAUGUGACACUAGUAAAGCUAAAAUCCCCAUUUACUCCUUGCUGACUAAAUUUCAUGAAAUACUGUAAUUCAACGAUAAAUUUAAAUAUUAGUUAAAUUUGUUAUAACCUUUAGCUUCGGAUUGUCUAUCAGUUGUAGCAAACUAGCAACUAUCAAGUUCCCUUACCUUUUACAAUGGCAUUGCCUGAUGCUUCAGGAGAUAUCUGAUCACUUGU
This 1053-nucleotide long non-coding RNA is filed under the name Rosa chinensis. RNAcentral's name for it is "sRNA RchiOBHm_Chr4g0418741". The record is from RNAcentral. Lineage: Eukaryota; Viridiplantae; Streptophyta; Magnoliopsida; Rosales; Rosaceae.